This 490-nucleotide ribosomal RNA is filed under the name uncultured bacterium. RNAcentral's name for it is "partial 16S ribosomal RNA". It matches the Rfam family "Bacterial small subunit ribosomal RNA", at positions 38 to 507 of the family's 1533-position model. The record is from RNAcentral.
GGGGGGGGGGGGGGGGGGGGGGGGGGGGGGGGGGGCGGGGGGGGAGGGGAGGAGGCUUGGGUCGGUGCUGACGGGUGGCGGACGGGGGAGGAAGGGCUGGGAACCUGCGGGAUGGAGGGGGAUGACUACUGGAAACGGUAGCUAGUACCGAUGAACGUCGCACGACCGAAGAGGGGGCCCUGCGGGCCUCGUGCCAUCGGAUGUGCCCAGAUGGGCUUAGCUUGUUGGUGGGGUAACGGCUCACCGAGGCGUCGAUCCCUAGCUGGUCUGAGAGGAUAGCCAGCCACACUGGAACUGAGACACGGUCCAGACUCCUACGGGAGGCAGCAGUGGGGAAUAUUGCACAAUGGGCGCAAGCCUGAUGCAGCCAUGCCGCGUGUAUGAAGAAGGCCUUCGGGUUGUAAAGUACUUUCAGCGGGGAGGAAGGGAGUAAAGUUAAUACCUUUGCUCAUUGACGUUACCCGCAGAAGAAGCACCGGCUAACUCCGUG